UACAGAGGGUGCGAGCGUUAAUCGGAAUUACUGGGCGUAAAGGGCGCGUAGGCGGUUGAAUAAGUUGGAUGUGAAAUCCCUGGGCUUAACCUAGGAACUGCAUUCAAUACUGUUUAACUAGAGUGUUGUAGAGGGUAGUGGAAUUUCCGGUGUAGCGGUGAAAUGCGUAGAUAUCGGAAGGAACACCAGUGGCGAAGGCGGCUACCUGGACAAACACUGACGCUGAGGCGCGAGAGCGUGGGUAGCAAACAGG
Molecule: ribosomal RNA, 253 nt
Filed under: uncultured bacterium
Lineage: Bacteria
Description: partial 16S ribosomal RNA
Rfam family: Bacterial small subunit ribosomal RNA
Source: RNAcentral